This 238-nucleotide unclassified non-coding RNA is filed under the name plant metagenome. RNAcentral's name for it is "partial contains small subunit ribosomal RNA, internal transcribed spacer 1, and 5.8S ribosomal RNA". The record is from RNAcentral.
UUUCCGUAGGUGAACCUGCGGAAGGAUCAUUACCGAGUGAGGGCCCUCUGGGUCCAACCUCCCACCCGUGUUUAUCGUACCUUGUUGCUUCGGCGGGCCCGCAACUUGUAGCCGCCGGGGGGCACUUGCCCCCGGGCCUGCGCCCGCCGAAGACACCAUUGAACGCUGUAUGAAGAUUGCAGUCUGAGCUUAUUAGCUAAAUUGGUUAAAACUUUCAACAACGGAUCUCUUGGUUCCG